Molecule: ribosomal RNA, 495 nt
Filed under: uncultured bacterium
Lineage: Bacteria
Description: partial 16S ribosomal RNA
Rfam family: Bacterial small subunit ribosomal RNA
Source: RNAcentral
GAUGAACGCUGGCGGCGUGCCUAAUACAUGCAAGUCGAGCGAACAGACGAGGAGCUUGCUCCUCUGACGUUAGCGGCGGACGGGUGAGUAACACGUGGAUAACCUACCUAUAAGACUGGGAUAACUUCGGGAAACCGGAGCUAAUACCGGAUAAUAUAUUGAACCGCAUGGUUCAAUAGUGAAAGACGGUUUUGCUGUCACUUAUAGAUGGAUCCGCGCCGCAUUAGCUAGUUGGUAAGGUAACGGCUUACCAAGGCAACGAUGCGUAGCCGACCUGAGAGGGGGAACGGCCACCCUGGAACUGGGACACGGGCCAGACUCCUACGGGAGGCAGCAGUAGGGAAUCUUCCGCAAUGGGCGAAAGCCUGACGGGGCAACGCCGCGGGAGUGAAGAAGGUCUUCGGAUCGUAAAACUCUUUUAUUAGGGAAAAACAAAUGGGUAAGUAACUAUGGACGUCUUGACGGUACCCAAUCAAAAAGCCCCGGCUAACUACG